GACGAACGCUGGCGGCGUGCCUAAUACAUGCAAGUUGAGCGCUGAAGGUUGGUACUUGUACCAACUGGAUGAGCAGCGAACGGGUGAGUAACGCGUGGGGAAUCUGCCUUUGAGCGGGGGACAACAUUUGGAAACGAAUGCUAAUACCGCAUAAAAACUUUAAACACAAGUUUUAAGUUUGAAAGAUGCAAUUGCAUCACUCAAAGAUGAUCCCGCGUUGUAUUAGCUAGUUGGUGAGGUAAAGGCUCACCAAGGCGAUGAUACAUAGCCGACCUGAGAGGGUGAUCGGCCACAUUGGGACUGAGACACGGCCCAAACGCCUACGGGAGGCAGCAGUAGGGAAUCUUCGGCAAUGGACGAAAGUCUGACCGAGCAACGCCGCGUGAGUGAAGAAGGUUGUCGGAUCGUAAAACUCUGUUGGUAGAGAAUAACGUUGGUGAGAGUGGAAAGCUCAUCAAGUGACGGUAACUACCCAGAAAGGGACGGCUAACUACGUG
Molecule: ribosomal RNA, 497 nt
Filed under: uncultured bacterium
Lineage: Bacteria
Description: partial 16S ribosomal RNA
Rfam family: Bacterial small subunit ribosomal RNA
Source: RNAcentral